GACGUAGGGCGCGAGCGUUGUCCGGAUUUAUUGGGCGUAAAGAGCUCGUAGGCGGCUUGUCGCGUCGGCUGUGAAAGCCCGUGGCUCAACCAUGUGGUCUGCAGUCGAUACGGGCAGGCUAGAAUUCGGUAGGGGAGACUGGAAUUCCUGGUGUAGCGGUGAAAUGCGCAGAUAUCAGGAGGAACACCGGUGGCGAAGGCGGGUCUCUGGGCCGAUAUUGACGCUGAGGAGCGAAAGCGUGGGGAGCGAACAGG
RNAcentral lists this ribosomal RNA (254 nucleotides) under uncultured bacterium. Its description in RNAcentral is "partial 16S ribosomal RNA". It matches the Rfam family "Bacterial small subunit ribosomal RNA", at positions 524 to 776 of the family's 1533-position model. The record is from RNAcentral.